Parathielavia hyrcaniae is the source of this 72-nucleotide non-coding RNA. The record is from the annotation of a GenBank genome assembly. NCBI's taxonomy places the organism in Eukaryota, Fungi, Ascomycota, Sordariomycetes, Sordariales, Chaetomiaceae.
GUUGGAGUGGAGUAGUAGUUAACUCGUCGCCCUUCCAAGGCGGAAACUCGGGUGCGAAUCCCGGCUCCAGCA